CCAUCUUUUGGCCAGACGACCUGGGUGUAGCCCAAAGGACAUUUUUGUCAUUAUACAUGAGAAGCUUCCUACUGUAUCGACUCCAACAAUAUCCAUUCUUCUCUCAACAUACGCAAAGAUUUUGAUGCACUCUCAACCACCAGAUCCCGAAUUACAAAACCAGAUCUGGGCAAUAUUCAGCAAAUAUGAAACAUGCAUUGAUACUGAGAUACAACAAAGAGCUGU
This is a long non-coding RNA of Lactuca sativa (garden lettuce), 225 nucleotides long. RefSeq lists it as uncharacterized. The record is from RefSeq and is a predicted model, not a curated record. NCBI's taxonomy places the organism in Eukaryota, Viridiplantae, Streptophyta, Magnoliopsida, Asterales, Asteraceae.